GAUCCUGGCUCAGAUUGAACGCUGGCGGCAGGCCCAACACAUGCAAGUCGAACGGUAACAGGAAACGGCUUGCUGUUUCGCUGACGAGUGGCGGACGGGUGAGUAAUGUCUGGGAAACUGCCUGAUGGCGGGGGAUAACUACUGGAAACGGUAGCUAAUACCGCAUAAUGUCGCAAGACCAAAGAGGGGGGACCUUCGGGCCUCUUGCCAUCGGAUGUGCCCAGAUGGGAUUAGCUAGUAGGUGGGGG
Molecule: ribosomal RNA, 248 nt
Filed under: uncultured bacterium
Lineage: Bacteria
Description: partial 16S ribosomal RNA
Rfam family: Bacterial small subunit ribosomal RNA
Source: RNAcentral